GGAGGUGUAGUUCAGUGGUAAAGUACUUACUUAGUACGUGUGAAGUCUUGGGUUUGAUUCCCAGCACCACAA
Molecule: transfer RNA, 72 nt
Filed under: Heterocephalus glaber (naked mole-rat)
Lineage: Eukaryota; Metazoa; Chordata; Mammalia; Rodentia; Bathyergidae
Rfam family: tRNA
About the family: Transfer RNA (tRNA) molecules are approximately 80 nucleotides in length.
Source: Rfam by way of RNAcentral